GAUGAACGCUAGCUACAGGCUUAACACAUGCAAGUCGAGGGGCAGCGCAGUGUAGCAAUACAUGGGCGGCGACCGGCGCACGGGUGCGUAACGCGUAUCCAACCUUCCCGUUACUCAGGGAUAGCCUUCCGAAAGGGAGAUUAAUACCUGAUGGUAUUCAAAUUUCGCAUGUUAUUUGAAUUAAAGAUUUAUCGGUAACGGAUGGGGAUGCGUGACAUUAGGUAGAUGGCGGGGUAACGGCCCACCAUGCCUACGAUGUCUAGGGGUUCUGAGAGGAAGGUCCCCCACACUGGAACUGAGACACGGUCCAGACUCCUACGGGAGGCAGCAGUGAGGAAUAUUGGUCAAUGGUCGGAAGACUGAACCAGCCAAGUAGCGUGAAGGAUGAAGGUUCUAUGGAUUGUAAACUUCUUUUAUACGGGAAUAAAACCACCUACGUGUAGGUGCUUGUAUGUACCGUAUGAAUAAGCAUCGGCUAACUCCGUG
Molecule: ribosomal RNA, 486 nt
Filed under: uncultured bacterium
Lineage: Bacteria
Description: bacterial SSU rRNA
Rfam family: Bacterial small subunit ribosomal RNA
Source: RNAcentral